RNAcentral lists this ribosomal RNA (550 nucleotides) under uncultured eukaryote. Its description in RNAcentral is "SSU rRNA". It matches the Rfam family "Eukaryotic small subunit ribosomal RNA", at positions 20 to 575 of the family's 1831-position model. The record is from RNAcentral.
GUAGUCAUAUGCUUGUCUCAAAGAUUAAGGCAUGCAUGUCUAAGUAUAAGCAGUUAUACCGCGAAACUGCGAAUGGCUCAUUAUAUAAGUUAUCGUUUAUUUGAUAGUACCUUACUACUUGGAUAACCGUGGUAAUUCUAGAGCUAAUACAUGCUAAAAAUCCCGACUUCGGAAGGGAUGUAUUUAUUAGAUUAAAAGCCAAUGCCCUCUGGGCUCUCUGGUGAUUCAUGAUAACUUCUCGAAUCGCAUGGCCUUGCGCCGGCGAUGGUUCAUUCAAAUUUCUUCCCUAUCAACUUUCGAUGUUUGGGUAUUGGCCAAACAUGGUUGCAACGGGUAACGGAGGGUUAGGGCUCGACCCCGGAGAAGGAGCCUGAGAAACGGCUACUACAUCCAAGGAAGGCAGCAGGCGCGCAAAUUACCCAAUCCCGACACGGGGAGGUAGUGACAAUAAAUACUGAUACAGGGCUCUUUUGGGUCUUGUAAUUGGAAUGAGUACAGUUUAAAUCCCUUAACGAGGAACAAUUGGAGGGCAAGUCUUGUGCCAGCAGCC